This 4251-nucleotide long non-coding RNA is filed under the name Homo sapiens (human). RNAcentral describes it as "HSALNT0300167". The record is from RNAcentral. Lineage: Eukaryota; Metazoa; Chordata; Mammalia; Primates; Hominidae.
UGGAAGUCAAUGUCCCAAGACUAUACCUGGAGGAGUUGGGGAUGGCUUUAUACAUGGGGUGAGGCUUGAGAAAACAUGGUGCUCAUAAGGCCAAAAGACUUUGGUAGUGGUAGUAUUGGCUCACGUUUCCUUUCAGAUAGAUUGAAAACCAUGUGCAAAGGCAAAGGAGGUGAGAGAAAGCACUCAACCCCCAAGGAAAAUAGGCCGAGGCCAGAUCAAAAAGGUCUUUAGAUAUGACACCAAAUGUCUCAACCUUCUUUCAGCUGAUGGUGUGGUGAGCGGUUCCAACACAAUACAUGCUUUGGCAACUAUUGUCACAUGCAGACCAUCUUGAGUCACAUAACGUCUUGACUUUCUUAGAUUCAAAAUAUUUUUAUAUCUUUUUUCUACUAUGUAUCCAAAGCACUUAGUUGAAUAGUUUUAUUUUAUGCCUACUUCAUGAAUACUUGACUUCUAAGAAAUAACUUUUCUUUCUCUAGCCUAUUGUAUUUACCCUACAGCCUAGCAUAGAUACACACCUAAAAAUAAUUUUUCUGGACUCAGCCUGGGAGUGAGGCUUAAAUGGCAAUUUAUUCCUGCCUCCAGCUUAUUAAAGAAAUUCCCCAGUCCCCUAUCGUCCCCUUCAUCAAUUUUGAUAAGAGUCAUCCAGAUCCAGUGACUCAGGGACAAAACAAUCACCACCUCAAGUGUUUCAUUCAAUCCUACAGACUAGAGCUCCAGGAAGACUGAAUAGAGACACCCAGGAGAGCUUUCCUGGUUGACAGCACUCCCUGCCUAUCGCCACACAUUGAUGCCAGGAGGGUGAGGUGAACUCACUUCAAGGCGAGAGGGCCGUUGAAGCUUCUGUUUGAAACCCUCUCAGACUCUGCCCUAAGCAUCUCUUCCUCUGGCUGAUUUUAAUCUGUAUCCUUUCCCUGCAAUAAACCAAAGCCAUGGGUGUAACUGUUCUGUGAGCCCUUCUAGUAAAUUUUCAAAACUGAGGGUAGUUUGUGGAUCCCCCCGCCAACCUUGAGGUUCAUGUCAGAAGUAAGAGAGGUCUUGGGGACUGUAUCCUCUAACUGUCUUGGGCAAACUCUAUUCCUCUAAACUCUUUUUUUUUUUUUAACUUUUUACACUGAUAUUCUAGAUUGUUUUUCAAUCAGUAAAGCAAACCUGAUAAAGAAGUUCUAAGAAUCAGGCCCUUCAUACCAUUUAUAGUGGAGGUUGCCUGGCAUUCUGUGUAUCAUUCUAGUUCUUAGCAUGCACAGCUAUCUCCUCUGGAUUCCAUGAGGCAGGAUUCAUCUCAGUUCCCUCUAGCACAGUGGCUAACAGAGCAGGUACUCAGAAGUGCCUGUGACUAGAGUCACAUAUAAGACAGGGUCUGUUCUCAGGAGCUCAGCAUGCACAUGUGGAGACUUCACAGGAAAAUGUAAGGACUUUCACAUUGGUGGCAUCUAGUUUCAAAGAGAAUGGCGAGUGUCUCAGUCAGCUAGGGCUGCCAUAGUAAAAUUCCACACUUCUGUUGGCGUAAGCAACAGAAAUGUACUUGCUCACAGUUCUGGAGACUGGAAGUCCAAGAUCAUAGUGCCAGCAAGGUCAUGCUCUGGUGAAGCAUCUCUUCCUGUCUUGUAAACAGACAUCAUAUUGUGUGUGUUCACAUGGCCUUUGCUUGGUGCAUCUGCAGAGAAAGAGAGGGAGAGAAAGACAAAGAGAUGGAGAGAGAGCUGUUUCUUAUAAGGGCACUAAUCCUAUCAUGGGAGCCUUACCCUCAUGACCUCAUCUCAACCUAAUGACCCUCCCAAAGCCCUGUCUCUAACUACCAUCGCAUUGCGGGCUAGGGCUUCCACAUAGGAAUUUUGGGGGGACAAAAUUCUAUUUAUAGCAGUGACUUAAUCUGAGGUGACCCAAGCAGCUUUGAAUAGGAUUGGGCCUGGUGGACACAAGAGGAAUGGAAAACAGGGUCUGAAGGUGUCGCUUGCAGGGUGACCCCAGGGCCCAGAAUGCCCAUGUCUUCUGCUCCUUAAUCUCCAUGUCCCAAGAGGUGCAUAAGGGGACACUGGGGACACAGAAAAGCCACGUCUUCAUCAGCGGAGGAAAUAGCUCAGGAAAACUCCUAUGCGUUCUUUGGUUUCCCUCAUUAUUAAGACCAAUCAUAGGAAAAUGAGAAAGGAAAAUCCACUCUUCCACCCGAUAUGUGUGUUCUUGUGACUCCCACCUGAUGGAGACGGUUGCUAGGAAACUGUGACCACAGUCUGCAGAUUCUGUCAAGGAGAAAGGACCCCCUCACCCCUGAGUUCUCCUUGAAACUCACAAAGUGCUUAGCUGCAGCCUGUGGUGCAGCAUUCAGGAGAGUUAAUGCUGGCAAUUCACAGAGAAGGGAACUGAAGAUUAGGGGCAUCAGGUAGGCAGCUGGUCAUGGCACCAGCGUGUGGCUUGGAGCCAGCUCCCCUGCUGCCCAGGGAGGUGCUGUCUCUAUUCCAUUGCACUGCCCUCAAGAAGAGGGACCUAGUUCAAAACCAGAAAGGUGAGGCUGCCAUGGUCUGCCCUUUUGGGGCACCUCUGGAAGAGGGUACCUCUUCACCGAAUGUCUUCCUUUGUGUGUUCUCACAGGAUGGCAAUCCCAGGUCUGGAUUAAUGCCUGUGUCUGCUGAAAAACAGUGGGACAGACAGUGCUGGUCCAUGGCUGCCUUCAAAAUGCUACUAAAUUUCUGUCUGCCAUAAAGUGGAGAGAAAAAGAGUGCAAAACUAAAACGGGAAGUUUCCUCAUCUAGAAAACAACGAUGAUGAUGAUGUCAGUGAUAACCUAUUUUGUACGUUCUCAUAAAUGGUAAGUAUGUUAAUAUAUGCAAACUUACUGGAGCAUUGCCUUGUCCAUGAUAAACUCAACUAGUGUUUGCUCAUCUCAAUUAUCCAGAAAAAAAAUGGAGAAGGGAGGAGGUUGGGCAGUAGUUUUGGAGGCAGAUGCAAUACUGAAAGAAGAUAUUUUUAGGAUAAGUGGAGUGAAUUGUGAAUUCUGACUGCUCUGGUCUGAUCCUAAGUUUCAGUUUUUAGCUAGGUCUGCUCAGUUCAUGAAAUCACAGUGGGCAGGGACCUUCACACAAAGCACCGAGGAUGAGAUGAAUGACAGGAGAGAGGGCAGAUUGGCAGAGCACUGUGUGGGAAAUUAAGCAGUCCCUGGUCUCAUGUCUUACCAUUGCAAUAAUCAGAAGAGCAGGUCUCAUAUCUUGCCUCAGUUUUUUAGGGUUUGAAGCAACAUGGAUCUCUCAAAUGUGAGCACCAAGACUGAAAACCACUAAGGAUAAUGAGAAGCUGUCUUUGUGCACACAUUUUGGUCUCCUCCCAUCCAUGCUGGAAAUAGCCACUUCAAUAUCAUCAGAAGGGUAUAAUGCUGGGAGACACUCUCUGGCCUCAUGGAGUUCCCUGUCCAGUUGGAUGGACACAAAGGCAAGAAGACACAGGGAGCGUGACAGCAGCUAUGAGAGGUGUUGGAGCCUGCGGCUGGGGUGGGCGCGGUGCCGGAAGGCUUCCUGAAGGGAAGGGCUUCUCCACCAGAUCCUAAAAACCAACUGGAACAGACUUUUUCCUCCUGCUAUUGGGCAUCAGAAGCCCAAGUUCUCUGGCCUUUGGACUCCAAGACCUGCAACAGUGCCAUGGUUUCCCUCCUGGCCCCAGUGGAUUUCAGUGCUGACUGAAAGUUACACCAUCAGCUUCCUUGAUUCUGAGGCCUUUGGGCAUGGACUGAGUCACCCUGCCAGCUACCCCGGUUCUCCAUAAUCAUGUUAGACAGUUCCCGUAAGUCCCUUCUUGUUAUCUCUCUAUGUAUCCUAUUGGCUCUGUGUCUCUGGAGAAUCCUCACUAAUACAUAUCCUUUGAGUUGGAUAGAAUUCUCUCCAUUUACAGAUGAGAAAACUGUGCCUCAGGGAGGCUUAAUGCUCAAAUUCAUUCGGCUAUUAAAUGGAGAGCCCCAGUUGGAAUCCAGGCCCACCGGACAUGUACUGUCUACCUGCCUUGGGUGCUGUUCCCAAGGGGCAUGAGUGUUCAUGGGUGGCAAUGGAAUCCCUAGUCCAGUUCAGUGGCGCUUACCUUUUGAAAGUUUAGAGACCUCAGGAACCUCAUGCUGAUUGGAAAUGUGCUUUUUCCUGCCUGACCUUUGAUACGGUUUCACUGUGUCCCUACCCAAAUCGCAUGUUGAAUGGUGAUCCUGAGUGUUGGAGGUGAGACCUGGUGGGAGGUGAUUGGAUCAUGGGGGUGGUUUCUAAUGGUUUAGCACCA